CUACGUGCCAGCAGCCGCGGUAAUACGGAAGGUCCAGGCGUUAUCCGGACUUAUUGGGUUUAAAGGGAGCGUAGGCGGAUUGUUAAGUCAGCGGUUAAAGGGUGUGGCUCAACCAUGCAUUGCCGUUGGAACUGGCGAUCUUGAGUGCAGACAGGGAUGCCGGAAUUCGUGGUGUAGCGGUGAAAUGCUUAGAUAUCACGAAGAACUCCGAUCGCGAAGGCAGGUGUCCGGGCUGCAACUGACGCUGAGGCUCGAAAGUGUGGGUAUCAAACAGGAUUAGAUACCCUGGUAGUCCACACAGUAAACGAUGUAUACUCGCGGUUUGCGAUAGACAGUAAGCCGCCAAGCGAAAGCAUUAAGUAUACCACCUGGGGAGUACGCCGGCAACGGUGAAACUCAAAGGAAUUGACGGGGGCCCGCACAAGCGGAGGAACAUGUGGUUUAAUUCGAUGAUACGCGAGGAACCUUACCCGGGCUUGAA
This 481-nucleotide ribosomal RNA is filed under the name uncultured bacterium. RNAcentral describes it as "bacterial SSU rRNA". It matches the Rfam family "Bacterial small subunit ribosomal RNA", at positions 501 to 985 of the family's 1533-position model. The record is from RNAcentral.